Molecule: ribosomal RNA, 83 nt
Filed under: Cytophagales bacterium
Lineage: Bacteria; Pseudomonadati; Bacteroidota; Cytophagia; Cytophagales
Description: partial 16S ribosomal RNA
Rfam family: Bacterial small subunit ribosomal RNA
Source: RNAcentral
CAAUUUACAAUGGAGAGUUUGAUCCUGGCUCAGGAUGAACGCUAGCGGCAGGCCUAAUACAUGCAAGUCGAGCGGCAGUUGAG